Long non-coding RNA from Haliotis rubra (blacklip abalone), 574 nucleotides. RefSeq lists it as uncharacterized. The record is from RefSeq and is a predicted model, not a curated record. Lineage: Eukaryota; Metazoa; Mollusca; Gastropoda; Lepetellida; Haliotidae. The transcript has 2 exons.
GGCACCAUUUUACAUCGGCCAAGAGAGCUCAUCGUGAAUACUUCACAGAGGACGAUAACCCGAAGCCGAACUGCUGAACCGCCUGAUAGGACCUUGCGACAGGGGAGGCGACCAGUGCAGGCGAGUGCAUGUAAGGUGCUGGAAUUGGUUUGACUCUUACACCUUACAGCUGGAAUACACACAUGUAACACUGAGAGACAAUACACGUGAUGCCAAAUUAUAGACAAUCAAUGCAAUGCAUAAUCAUAAUCAUAAUCAUAAUCCUGAUGGCAUGCUGGUUCUUCCUCGCUGUUGUCAAACACUUCACACACUUCACUGCCAUAGUACAGGGAAGUGUUAUCAAAAACAAGUCUGUCCAGGAUUUUAUAGUCACAUAUUGACACAGACUCAAGUCAGCUGAAACAUGUAUGUCCAUUGCAAGGUUUAUUAACAAGGAAUUCAAUAAUCUAAAAUAUUCUGACAGUAUUCACGGAAGAGCAAAGAAAACAAGACAUCUUAGGGAUUAUUGCCAGCUUACAUGAUUGUCAAGCAUAAGUGUUUUGUUACUUAGAUGAAAUAAACAAGCAUCACAUAA